CGCGGGGACGGAGCCGUCAGGGCAGCGACGCUGCGGCGUGGGCCGAGGAUCCUCUCCUUGGUAGCACCUCCCUCCCCAUCCCCGUGACGGUUUCAACUUUUGCAGUCUCCCUGGAGACAGUUAAGCAAGUUUCUGGUGUUUUCCGGUGCUAAAGGGCCCUGGGAGCCGAAGAUGCACGGAGAAGCCUACACGAGCCAGAAUUAAUUCGCUCCUAAUCGCGGCGCGCAGCCGGCCUGGGCUGACCUCCGCACGUCCUUCCCUGCGCCCAGCGGGGACCAUCCCCGGGUGGGACCCUCCCGGCCCCAUCCCCGUCCCGCUGGUGCCUGCUGCGAGCCCGGCUCUUGGCAGAGCUCCCCGGCCCUUCCUGCCUCGCCUCCCUCGCUGCAAGCCUGCCCAGGCCCCGGCCCAGCCAUGCGGGCUGUGUUUGUACACAGAUGAGUAACAGCUCCAGCGCUCGCACAGCGCCCAGCCCGCUGCCGGCAGCAGCGCCCCCAGGGGUGGAGGCAGAGAAGGGAGCGGCGGCGCUGCCGGGGCCAUCAGUGGUGCCACGCGGUGCCUGGCCAGGCAGCGAUGUGCCCAGGCAGGGUGUGAGGCACCGCCGGGGCUCGUCCCCAAGGACGCCGAGCCACCGUCAUCCCUU
This 640-nucleotide long non-coding RNA is filed under the name Anas platyrhynchos (mallard). Its description in RNAcentral is "lncRNA (ENSAPLG00020003616.1)". The record is from RNAcentral. Lineage: Eukaryota; Metazoa; Chordata; Aves; Anseriformes; Anatidae.